Molecule: ribosomal RNA, 253 nt
Filed under: uncultured bacterium
Lineage: Bacteria
Description: partial 16S ribosomal RNA
Rfam family: Bacterial small subunit ribosomal RNA
Source: RNAcentral
UACGUAGGUGGCAAGCGUUAUCCGGAUUUACUGGGUGUAAAGGGCGUGUAGGCGGGAGUGCAAGUCAGAUGUGAAAACCACGGGCUCAACCUGUGGCCUGCACUUGAAACUGUAGUUCUUGAGUACUGGAGAGGCAGACGGAAUUCCUAGUGUAGCGGUGAAAUGCGUAGAUAUUAGGAGGAACACCAGUGGCGAAGGCGGUCUGCUGGACAGCAACUGACGCUGAGGCGCGAAAGCGUGGGGAGCAAACAGG